RNAcentral lists this ribosomal RNA (376 nucleotides) under uncultured bacterium. RNAcentral's name for it is "bacterial SSU rRNA". It matches the Rfam family "Bacterial small subunit ribosomal RNA", at positions 523 to 898 of the family's 1533-position model. The record is from RNAcentral.
AUACGGAGGGUGCAAGCGUUACUCGGAAUCACUGGGCGUAAAGGACGCGUAGGCGGGUUGUCAAGUCAGGUGUGAAAUCCUACAGCUUAACUGUAGAACUGCACUUGAAGCUGGCAACCUAGAGUAUGGGAGGGGGAGAUGGAAUUAGUGGUGUAGGGGUAAAAUCCGUAGAUAUCACUAGGAAUACCUAAAGCGAAGGCGAUCUCCUGGAACAUUACUGACGCUAAGGCGUGAAAGCGUGGGGAGCAAACAGGAUUAGAUACCCUGGUAGUCCACGCCCUAAACGAUGAACACUAGUCGUCGCUCUGCUUGUCAGGGCGGUGAUGCACUUAACAGAUUAAGUGUUCCGCCUGGGGAGUACGUUCGCAAAAUUAAA